RNAcentral lists this unclassified non-coding RNA (253 nucleotides) under uncultured Candidatus Altimarinota bacterium. RNAcentral describes it as "uncultured Candidatus Gracilibacteria bacterium contains 16S-23S intergenic spacer region". It matches the Rfam family "Bacterial small subunit ribosomal RNA", at positions 524 to 776 of the family's 1533-position model. Lineage: Bacteria; Candidatus Altimarinota. The record is from RNAcentral.
GACGGAGGGUGCAAGCGUUACCCGGAAUCACUGGGCGUAAAGCGUCUGUAGGCGGCGUAUCAAGUUAGAGGUGAAAGCCCCCGGCCCAACCGGGGAAUUGUCUCUAAAACUGAUAUGCUAGAGGAAUGGAGAGGUGAGUGGAAUUCGGUAUGUAGGGGUAAAAUCCGUUGAUCUACCGAGGAACACCAAAAGCGAAGGCAGCUCACUGGCCAUUUCCUGACGCUGAGAGACGAAAGCGUGGGGAGCGAUUGGG